GAGCUCACUUUGGCAGCACAUAUACUAAAAUCGGAACGAUGCAGAGAUUAGCAUGGCCCUGCGCAGGGAUGACACACAAAUUCGUGAAGCAUUCUUUUUUUUU
Molecule: small nuclear RNA, 103 nt
Organism: Nannospalax galili (Upper Galilee mountains blind mole rat)
Lineage: Eukaryota; Metazoa; Chordata; Mammalia; Rodentia; Spalacidae
Source: Ensembl